This 12962-nucleotide long non-coding RNA is filed under the name Citrus sinensis (sweet orange). RNAcentral's name for it is "long non-coding RNA (CSIN_LNC004735)". Lineage: Eukaryota; Viridiplantae; Streptophyta; Magnoliopsida; Sapindales; Rutaceae. The record is from RNAcentral.
AAGUUGAUUCUCAUAUCCGAAGGCAAUCCAUACUUUCCCUCGCUCUCAGGAAUCAGAGCAACUUAACCGUAACCGAUUAACCGUUAACGACAACCUUCAAUGGCCAUGUCUCAGAUGGCGUCCACUCUCGCCUCUCCUCUCUCUUUCCUCCUCCUCCGCCAUUCUCUCUCUCCAUAUAUUCCACGUCAGCAUUCUGUCUCCUCUCCUCUCUCAAAACACCAACACUCGCACCAAAUCCUCUGCGCUAAAAAGAGCAGCAGCAGCAACAACAGCAAGCAGCAGAAGCCAAAAGCACAAACAGCUUCUAGUUCUUUGGGACCCAAAGCUGGGGUUGCCAUUUACAAGCCAAAGUCUUAUGAAGUACUCGCCGCUGAUGCUGCUAACUCACUCGCUUUUGCUCUUCAAGAUGGCAAAACCCGCUUGGAAAUCGACUUCCCGUAAUUACCCUUUUCUUUUUGUUUUUUUUUUAUAAUAAUUCUGCAUUUUUAUGGAAAUUUUUGAAUUUAGGUACUGUAUGCAAUUACUUGAAUUAAGCAGAAGAUAUCCAUUUAAGGCCCAUGUUUGAAUUGGUGUUUUUGAGCUUUUUUUUUUUUUAUUUGAUUACUUAUUUUGGAAGAAGAAUGGCAUAUUAUUUAAUUUUGAGCUGCUCAAAUAGUGAAAGUUCUGUUCUUUAGUGGUUUUAUGAAUACCCAUUUGAUUGGUUCAGCUUCAAAUUGAAUGCUGGCAACACCUUUUUUUUUGUUUUGACUUUGUACCCGUUUCUUUCUAUACUUAUUCUUGAACUUUAAUACUGAAAUCUGGAUGUUGGGGAAUAACAAUCUCAAAUUUUGCGGGUUAUCUUUUGGGAUUAGCUUUGCUGGAUUUCUUUGGAUGUCUUGUUGAGUUUGACAAUGAGCUUACUAUUUAAAGGGAAUUUUAUGUUCACGUUUAAUUGGUUACCUGUGGGUUGCUUGGUUUUGAGUUCGCGUGAGUUAAUUUAGUACAAAAACUGGGUGGUUUUUCGGAUUUGAACAUUUUCAAUAAAUUGUCCUCCCACUUGUUUCUUAAAAAUUGGGUGGCAUUUCGUAUUUGAGGAUUUUUCCUAAUGUCUGUCUUGUUCUUAUUUUGGAAUUGUAAUUAUCUAGCAAUAAUGAUAAUACUGCUUUUUAGUUUUGGAUUGUUCAUAUUCCUCAUUAAGUUGGGAUUUUGUAAUCAAUCAGUUCCUAAUCAAGAACAAGUUUGAAAAAAAAUAGUGAAAUAUUAGAACAUUAUUAUGAAGCUCUUUGGAAAAAGAUGGGAUUUGAUUGCAUGAAUAGUGGCAAGCAGUGUGUAAACUGGGCUGCAUGAUGGUGAUGAUAUGACACCUAAGGUCAGAAAACCUUUUUGCAGUUGUAAAAAUAAUGUUAUUUUUUGUUUGGGGAUACGUGUCAUGGACUCCAACACUGAACUUUCCCAUUAGCCCCUCAUAAAAAUUAAAAGAUAAUAAUUAUGUUUUUCAUUAUUGUCAAUCACUUAUCUUUAUUUUUCUCUUCUCCAGGCCCUUACCAAGCAACAUUUCCUCUUAUAAGGUACCUCUUUGAUCUCCUAAGUUCCUUAGAAAGUUUACUGAACCAUUUAUAAUUGAUCAAGGUGCUGAUGUUUUGAUAGCUUUCUGCAAAUUUUUGACUGGUUUUAUGUAUUGACCAGUUUCCGUUAUUAUAUAUAGUUUAGGUUUUAGAAUCUCAUUUUAUGAUUUUUAGACGAUAUGCAUGAAUGAUUUUGGUACUGGAAGGAAUUUUGCAGUAUUAAUGCAAUUUUAUUUACAAGUAAAUUUGUUUGUCCGUGAAAAUAUUAGUUCAGCAGAUGAUUUUUACAAAGAAAAGAAAUAGAACAUGUACAUGCCUUUCUUGAAAUCCUAUUUAUGUGAAGGGGUCUUCAGAUGAGUUCAUAGAUGCCAACAUUCAACUUGCAUUGGCUGUUGUCAGAAAGCUCCAAGAAAGAAUGGAAACCAGAGCUUGCAUCGUAAGAAGAAAGUUCCUUUCAUAUAAACUUUUGAUACUCCAAUUGGAUAAAUGACUUGAUGGAGUUUGUCCAAUCUCAGGUGUUUCCUGAUAAGCCAGAAAAGGGCAGGGCCUCUCGGCUUUUCAAAAGAGCUCUUGAUUCUGUAAGUAUACACAUUCUGACCAGGUUACAUUUUGUUUUGUUGCACUUUAGCAUUGUGCUAGGUUCCUUUUGGUUUUCUGCUUUUUUUUUUUUUUAUCUUUUCAAUCUGCUCCUUACAUCCACCAACAUCAUUAUAUGUCACAUCUGGUUUCUCUUCCACAGUCAUCAUGGUUACACUUGGAUCAAUUUUUGGAGGCAAGGGAAUUUGAAUUUGAUAUUUAUUCCGGUCAACCCUGGAAUGGUCAGUAUGAAAUAAUAUUAUUCCAUUAGUAAAUUUUUUUUCCCUAUUUUUAGGCAAUUAAAUUCAGUUAAACACCAAUGCAGUGUAGAAAAAAUUAGAUUGUACAUCAAUUCCAAAAGAAAAUUGAAUAACAUACAAAAUAGAAUAUGAAGAACAACCCAAGUAUCCACUGGUUUGCUCAAAUCUUGUAAUAUGUUAUUGACAUAAUUAUUAUUGUUAUUAUUAUUUGAAUAGAAUUGUAAUAUAUAUUUCACUCUCCACUUAUUAGUAUGAUUACUUGAUAUUCUCAUCAUUUACUACAUCAAACCAUAAAUUCCAUUUUAUCAAAAUAUCUCCUUCCACUUUCAAACAAAAUCAUCAAUCAGAGACAUCUGACAGCCAAGUAUGUACACUUCGAAUUUUCCAACUAACUCUAUUUACAUUGAUCCAAUAUAGGAAACCCAGAUUUACAGUUCAGCGUAACACAUAAACAUUCCAUAUGUACUAUGAAUUAGGAAUAGGACAGAAAAGGAAAUUAAUAAAACAAUAGAGUAUAGAGGCUCAUCACGAUAAUUCUAGGCAAAAUUCAUUCAAAAGCACAAAACUCACCCCACACGCAUCCCUUCUUCAAUAUCAGUAGGGGAAACUUUGUCACCAAGCCCAACAACAAACUGAGUUGAGAUAGUAAAAAGUUAUGUUAGACCCAACAUGCACAAAAACAACAUUAUAAUCAAAGGCUGAUCAUACAAUUUGCACAAAAUUGAUGCGAGACAAUCCAUAGCAUCUAAAAAGGACUAAGUAUUACAUCUGCACAUUAUUUCAGACCAGAAACUUUAGGAGAAUGUUCAUAAAAAAGAAAGAGUUACUAGUUCCAGUAAACAUUUAAUCAUUAAUCAAAAUGGUAAAUUUUAUAUAUAGAAAACAUUGAUAUAGAAAAAGAAUAAAAAUUACACACAAAAUAUGUUCACAAGAACUAAUAAAUUACUGGUAAAAAAGGACAUAGGAAAUAAAAUAUACCUUGGCAAUUUGCUUAACAUUUAUUACAUAUUUAGAAUCUUCAGAAUUUGGAUUGAUAAUCUUGGUGCAUCUCGCAACCUAAGCCGCAAAAUCAUUCAAUAAGUUAGAAACAAGAAUCCAAAAUAUUUUAUUAAACCUUAUAAAAAAGUACAAUACCUGAAGAGGCUGCUCCUCUUGCAUCAUCUGCUUAUCGGAUACAAGAUCCCACUGGCUGGGUGCAGCUAAGCCUGUGUCAGAUUCCUUGAUACCUAUUACAGGACAGAAGUGACAUGAUCUCAUUAAACAGAAUCAGGGUUUUGUCCCAUAAAAUGACACAUACCAAAUGAGUGAUGCAGAUGUAAUUAUAACAAAGUUCUAUACCACACAAGUCGUUGACUUUCUUGGCCAUGUCCUUAAUCUCCUUCUCUGCUUUCUUUAUGCUAGUAGAAUACGGUCCUAAACCCUGCAUAAACAAUUUCAUGCGACACAAAUAUCAGCCAUCACUGGUGAUUAUUACCAUAACCAAUGAAUGACAGACAAAAAAUUAGAGUUCAAGAAAGAAAGAAUCCAUACAUAUGUUUUAAGCAGCGCAAUGUCAUCUUCAUCAAGGGGUCUGGGAUUCUUCUCAUCCUUGAUCUCAUCUUCUGGCUCGGGUGCCAUUGUUUUAUGAAUUUCCUGAUUGCUUGCAAGUUCCGAGACCAAAUUAAAUCAUAUAUAAUUUCAUGGAUUAAAGAAAACCCAAAUUAAAUACAAUUCAUAAUCAGCAGAGGUUUUCGAAAAGUUUCUCAAUCACCCAUUCUAGUCUUGAAAAAUUAAAAUCACCCAACAAAAGGACUAACAUUUAUAUAACCAUGAAAAUGAUAAAUAUCAUUUGACAAAACUUCUUUUUCCCCUUUGUUUAUAUAAUUAAGUAAUUUUUUCUUCUACAUUAAUGAUAACUAACACAAAGCAUAAAUAAUACAUCAUAAAUUUUUAAUAGUUACGCAGAACUGCUCACUCUCUACUUAACAAAAUAAAUAGAAUAUUAUUUGUGAUAUAGAAAAUUAACUCUUUAACUCUGUACAAUUUUUUUUUCAUAAACCCUAAUUAAAUCUUAAACGGCAAACGGCAAACCAAAACCGUAAAACGUUAAAAACAAAAUUACAAGAACGAAAUAGUUGAUUGAGAUUUGAGAGCUGAUGUGUACCUAGAGAGGAAGAUUGGGCGUUGAAAACCGUCGGCGAGGUCUUUCUGAGGAAACGGUGUCGUCGAGGCGUUUGGCUUGAAAGAGAGGCACGACCGCACGAGUUUCCUUAAGGUGGUAGGAUCCGAUCUAUGAUGACGAGUUUCUUUAUCGGGUCAGCCGGUCAGGUAUUCACAAUUUUUGUUAAAGUUUCAUAUUGCCCCUGUUUUUAUGUUUUCACUGAAUUUCCCGUUUUCAUUUUUGUUUCCGCAAUAAAGUUUCGGCGGUCAUAUUGUAAAGUGAAAAACACAUAUAAUACAUGAUUAAUUUGACAAUAAUACAAAAAAAAGAGUUAUACAUGUUUUACUUAUUCCACAAAACAUACUCUAAAAUAUAUUACGAGGCAGUUUUUUAUGCGCUCGUCAAUGUUUAAUAAAAUUACAAUUCAUCUUCCUCUGAAGAACCAAAUCUCUAUUGUAAUUUGUAAGUAAUUUUUUUUUCCUUUUCAUUAUUGAUCUCUUUGUUUAUGAAAAAAUAACCAACAAAUACACACUCACUAUUUUUUAUUACAUUCAAUUUCAAACAAAUAUUGCUGUUUUUGUUUUCAAAAUACAGACACAUUAAAAUUCAAAAUCAACAAGUAAGUAAAAUUCCAGUUUCAUGCUCAUUUAUUUUAUGAAAAAUACCAAUUGAGAAACAAUAUUGAUGCACCUCAGAAUCUCAAUAUGUCCAAAUUAAUCAAGGCAGUAGUUUUUCCUUUGAAAUUUAAAUAAACCUGAAUUAGUUUGAAUUCUGAAUAGAAUUAAAUUUUUUAAUCUAAAUGAUGUAUUUAUUUUUUUUAUGUGAAUCUUUGAUAACAAGUAUUAGGUUGUUUGUUUUUUUUUUCAUCUUAAAGGUUUAAAAGACAGUACUUUUACAUUUGUGCGCUUAUAAAUUUUAAAUGCUAGAUAAACAAUAAAUAUUUUAAGGAACAUAAAUAAGAGUUUUUUAUCAUAAUAUAAGUCGUAUUCAAUUAAAAGCAAACCUUUAAUAUUCUAAAUUAGAGCAUGUUAAUCAAUUUUAUUAUAGUUUAUAAUGUAUUAUAUGAAAAAUAUUAAAAAAUGUAAAUAUAAAUAAUGUUAAUUUGAAUAUAUAAAAAGAUAAAAAUAAUAAUAAUCUACCACUAUUUUUUCAUUAUCAAAACUUAUGGAGAUGAAUAAUAAUGCUAAUUGGUAAGUUUUUAUUUAAACAAUGAUGAAAAAUAAUUAAUUAGAUAGGGUCAUUUUUGGAGAGUAUUUUUUUGAUAUUAUUCAAACUUUUUAGAUUAAGUAAAAAGUUUUAAAAAAAAUUGGCUUAAUAACUUAAUGACUUAAUCACUAAAAUUUUUCAUUAAAUUGAAAAAAAAAACAAAUUUAAUAACUUAACUUAUUAAAAUUAAGUUAAUUAGGUUAUUAAAUUAAAAAAAAAAACAAAUGCACCCUAGGACAGAUCUACAUUCUACACGCAUAAAAAUGACUAAGAAAAAAUGCCACACAAAGGAGAAGCAUGGAUUGGGUAGGCAUAGCAAGCCACAAGCAGUGAGGGCAUUAGAUAAGAUAGUACUUAUUUGGUAUGAUAAAUUAUCUCAGAACGACGAGUAUAGUGCAAUACAACCCCCUCCCAUUUUACGUUUAAAUGUUAAGUUCUCAAUUCUAGCUCCAAAGUUUUCAUUUUCAAAUAACUAACUUAUGAUAUAUUAUGGAUAAUGUAUCAUAAUUAGGUGAUUAACGAUAAAAAUUUUGAAGACCUAGAAAAAAAAUUAGAUAUAGACCAAUUUUGAUAUCUUAUUAAUUUGUUGUUAAGAGUAAUUAUAUCUUCAACUCCUCAAGAAUAUUGAAAAUAUAAUUGACCAUCACAAGCUUUUAAUAAUAUUUCAUAAGUACUUUAAGUUUUUGUUUUACAUCAACCAUUAAUUUUUUCGUUAAUUUCAUUAGCUACUGUUAAAUUAUUUAAGAUAAAAAACUAAUUUACCCUUAGGCUACGUUUGGCUGCUGGGACAAAGGCAAGAUAAGACUAAUUUUUAAGACUAAAAAUAUUAAUCCUAUCCAAAGCCGUUGUAAAGAAUAAAAAAUAAGCCCAAUUUUUUAUCCCAGAAUCUUGGGAUUAUUAAUCUCCUUUUUUAGGUGGGUUUAUCUUGGAUAAAAAAUCUAGGGAAACCACAAUCCUCUCUUUUCUUUCAUCAACCCGAAAGCAAACCCAAUUAGAAUUACUCUCAAACAAAUGCAGACCACGCACAUCUUCGUUCCUCAACGAAUCUUGAUUCUCUAAAAAUGGGGUUAGAUGAUCUGAGCAACAAUCAAAGGUAUUCAAAAUAUUAUCUGAAUUGGUUCUUAUCUUCCAAUUAAAUUGGAUCUUCCAAUUAAAUUGGGGCUUCAAGUAUGGAUCUUAAAAUUGAUUUUUUUUCCUUUUUCUUUUAUAGUUGGCUUGGUUGCAAGAAUUGAAAACUCACCGUUCUCCUUCAAUCGGUGAGUGAAUCUACAUGCUUUCCCUAGUUAAAUCUCAAUUAUUUUGCUUACCUUUUCCAAACUUACUGUAACAUUCCUUUAAUUUUUGCAUUGUCAAUAUAUAUUGUUUGGCUAUUAGUGGGUUUUUAUUAUUUUCUCCCUCAUAACAGUUUUGUUUCAUUUGGGUCUUAUUAUUAUCAAUUGUCCAUUACUUUGUUCUCUUUAUUUUAUUUUUAAUUAACUGAAUUAUGAAGACAUGUCACUUGCCCAAUUUAUUUCACUAUGUCAAGUGCACUAUCCAAUUUGUGCUUGAUUAUGAAAAUUAAUUGAAUUAUUUUUACUAUAUAUAAGCAAGGAUUGAAAGUCCAUUCACCUAUACGGCUGGUGGGUUUUUAUUAUAUAUAUGCACAUGGAUAACAUGUUCCACAUUACCCGUGUAUCAUCACAUGCAUACAUUUGUUAUUGAUUGUUUGCUUAUCUAUUUUCUUUAUUUUAUUUUUAAUUGCAUAAUUACAAACCUUAUGAUGAAUAGAUAUGAACGAAAGACAAAUUUUGUUAUUCCUACUUAGAAACGAGUUUUGCAAACAGAAGUUGGUUGUCUGCAUUAUGAUAGUUGUUAUCUUGCACCAUAUAAUAACAAGCUUUCAUGAAAAAUAUGUGCUCAAGAAUCACACUUUUGCUAGGCAUCAAACUCGUCUUCAAACUCUAGAUGACAUGGUAGGCAAUGGUGAUAUAGAAUGUGUGAAUCAACUUAGGAUGGAUAUAAGAACUUUUGGGUUAUUAUAUGAACUACUUCGUAGUGAUGGGAGGUUGAAGAUGGAUAUUGUAGUUUCUAUUGAUAAGCAGGUUUGUAUGUUCGUACAUGUAGUUGCACAUCAUGUGAAAAAUCAAAUAAUUAAUAAUCGCUUCAAGCGUUCUGGAGAAACAAUUAGUAGAUUUUUUUAAUUCUAUUCUUAAUAGAGUAUUGCGACUACAACACAUCUUGCUAAAAUCUCUAGAACUUGUGUCUGAACAUUGCACAAAUGGUAGAUGGAAAAUUUUCAAGGUAUGUUGUACCUAAAUUUUAAGAUGUCAUUUACAAUUAUAAUAUGACCUUGUGUACUAGUGUUAUUCAACUUAAUAAUUUUUGUUGAUAUAGAACUAUUUGAGAGCAUUAGAUGGAACCUACAUCAAGGUUCGAGUACCUAAAAUUGAUAAACCAAGAUAUAGAACAAGAAAAUGUGAAAUUGUAACAAAUGUCUUGGGGGGUUUGUUCACAAGAUAUGAUGUUUAUAUUUGUGUUACCGGGGUGGGAGGGUUUAGCUUCUGAUUCUAGAGUACUUCGAGAUACGAUAUCUAGGUAAAAUGGAUUAAAAGUUCCAACUGAUAAGACUAUUUUAAUAGAUUUAGAAUAGUCAGCCUUAAACUAAUUAAAUUUUUCUUAAUCCUAUUUUACCUUCUCAAUGUCUAGGUUGUUAUUAACUUGUGGAUGCUGGGUACACAAAUGGUGAAUGAUUUUUAGCACCAUAUAGAGGAACAAGUGAUAACUCUAUGAAAUUAGAGUUAUUAUGGCAAUUCUAGACUUAAAUCAAGACCACUUUGAGAGUAAAUGAUGUGUUUUUAUUAUAUUUUGGUUAUGUUUUGCAUAAACAUCCAUUUUAGCUUAGUCUUAAUAAGUUUUGCUUGAUUUAAAGUAAUUUGUACUCAAAACAUGUGCAUAAUUGUAGGUUUUUAGAAGUUUAUAAUCCAUGAAGCGAUGCUGAGAUAUGAGGCUAGCAAGAAGAAGAAAGAAUAUGGCCACAAAAGAAGUGAAACACAACAGGGAACAGUGCAGUGUUAUAGCUGUUGCUGGAGCAACCAUUGCUGUAGCAAUCUUAGAACAACGAGGGAGAAAACUUAGCGCGGGUUAGCUGCAGAAUUGCGAUCUGCAGUUUCCUAAUUCGACUCAUAUACGCCAUAGGCUUUUGUUUACCCUAGUUUUCAGUUAUAAAAAGGGACGUGCAUCACAUAAAACGGCGGCAAGAAAUUAUCAUUGGAAAAGAACAAGAGAAAAAGAAGAAGAAGAUCAUAAUUGAAGGGAACCGAUGCAGCAUCAUUAAAGAAUCCAUCAGAGAUAUUUGGAUUCACUUUUUGUCGUUCUCCACUUAUUUUUUCCUUCACUCUUUGAUUGAACCGAUGUAUUUCGUGACCAAUAUGUUGAUGUUUGUUUUUCUCUUUCAAAACAUGAACUAAACUUGCUUGUAGUUGAGUGACAAACAAUCUAAUGAGUUCUUGACUGUUCUUAUGAGUUGCUAUAUAAUUGCUAUAGCAUUUUACUCUAGUAGCUAUUAUUAUAAUUGUUAUUUCGGUUGACCACCCAUUUAAUGGUUCGAGUUAAGAUAGAGCCGCAAAAUGGCAUGUCUUAGUAGAUAUUAUUAGAGUAAUACUUGAUCUUAAUUUAAGUUUCCUAGAUUAAGUUUAUCUUGAAUCUUAUAAGGGUUAUACUUGAAGUUAAGAUUUGUGACAAACUAGACAUAGGUACUCACCUUGUAGGGUGAAGAUAAUAGAUGUUCAUAAUGUCAUGCCGUAGGUAGAAUAGCAACUGGUCAUUACUAAGAUACUUAAGGGUAUGAGAAUUCCAACAAGCGACAGCUAAUGAUGCAAAAUAAGUCUGCCCAGUGCUAUAGAAAUUAUUGUAGCAACUGGUGUUAAUUUGAUGAAAAGCAGUCAACCCAUAAAAGAGUUUAAUCAUUCAACUACCUUAUUCUCAUUUUAUUCUUUUAUGCAAUUUAUUUAGUUUGUUUCACCACUGCAUUAUUUCAUUUUAUUUCCUUACAAUUAUAAAUUUCGGUAGUAAACAACUUCACAUUUGUUCAUUUGAAAUAAAGGUAGAUUGCACUAUUGUGAUUGUUGUAACAUUUCUAGUAACAUCAAUCAUUGUGGAGACGAUCUUGAAUACGCAUAACUUUAUUACUUGUUGUGUACACUUGCACAUUGACAUCAAUAGCAUUUGAUUAAAAAUUCACCAACAACAAGAUAUCAUUUAUUAGAGUGGAGAGAUGGGUGUACUCCUGUUAAUUAUCAAGAGUAUUUCAUAUAUGAAGCAUGCUUUAGCAAGAAAUGUAAUAGAACGAUUUUUUGGACUUCUUAAGAGGCGUUGGGCAAUCUUACGAAGUUCAUAUUUCUAUCCUCUAAAAACACAAUGUAGAAUAAUAACUACUUGCUGCCUUUUACAUAAUCUUAUUAGAAGGGAAAUAUCAGCUGAUCCAAUGGAGUGUGAUAUAGAUGACUUUGACCUUAGUACCAAUUCGGAGGACCGGGAAACCAUUAGCCAAGUAUCAUUAUCUGAGCAGUGGACUGCGUGGAUGGAUAAUUUAGCAUUACAAAUGUUUAACAAUUGGAGGCGAAAUAGAGGAAUUUGAAGUUUCAGUUUAAGUUUUUAAUUGUAUUUGAACUUUAUAUUUUGUUAUUAUGUAAUGUCAUAUGAUUUAACACUUUUAUGUUUUAUAAAAAUCAGUUAUUUUAUUUUAUAAUGCUUAUUUUUUCAUUAUUCUUAUCUAUUCCCGUUAUUUUAUAUCUUAUUUCACUGUGAAUGUAUAUUUUCUCUUUAAUACAUGAAUUAUUAUUCUUAUAUAGGGAUGGAUGGUGUAACUACUAAUCAAAAUAAUGAAAAAGAUAAAAAGGGGACAAGACUUGCAUGGACAAAAGAAGAAGAGGAACCUUUGCUGAAUAUAUUGGAGGAAAUGGUAGCACGCGGAUUUUAUGCUAAUUGUGAGCAACUAAAACCAAGUGCUAAUAGGCAUAUUGAAGAACAAUUGGCAAAGUUACUUCCUAAUGUUGGCCUAAAAGCUAGCCCACACGUGGAAUCUAAAAUGCAAAAUUGAAGAACAACUAUGGAGUAGUGUUUGAUAUGCUUAACACAAGUGGCUUUGGUUGGAAUGAUGAAAAAAAGUGUGUUGAAGUUGAUAGUGAUGAGGCAUGGCAAUCCUAUGUGCAAGUGGUUUUUUUUUUCUAGUGACCUUUAAUAAGAUUUUUUUUUUCUAGUGACCAUUGGUAAUUGAUAGAAUUCUUGUUUUUUUUUUCCUUCAUUUUAGCACCAUAAGAAUGUUGAAGGGUGGAGGAACAAACCAUUUCUGAUAUAUGAGAGGUUUGCAUAUACUUUUGGAAAAGAUCGUGCGACUAGAAAAGAAGCUGAAACUCUUGUUGACAUGAUAGAGAAUGAAAAUGAAGACGAUCUUGAAGUUGGGUCUGAGAUUGGUGAAGGACUAUCUCCCAUGUCAAUGGACCAAGGUCAAACAAAAUCAUUUAAAAGGAAAUGGGCUACAUCAACUGAUCUAUUGGUUGGAAACUUGGAAAAGUUUGCAUACAUAUUUCAGGACGUGAUGGAAAAGUCAAAUCAAAAUGUGAAUAAUCUUCUUGGUAAGCUAUCAAAUGAAAGUAUCAAUUCAAAAGUUGUUGCUAACAUGUUGAUAAAAAUGAACCUUUUACUACAUCAAAGAGUUAGGGUGCAAAAGAUGUUGCUAAAACAACCAGAACAUGCAGAAAUAUUUAGGACAAUGCGAAAUGAUGAAGAAAGAAAGGAGUUUCUUGAAGAACUUAUCUUAGGUGGGAAUGAUGAUUGAUUAAGGGUGGUAUUUUGGGAUCCUUUUUGUACAAAAGAUUAACCGUAUAUGGUAGGUCUAUGAACCUGAUGAUGACAAAUUUUUUUGUAACUAAUCAUAUGAAUUAUAUUUUGUUUGUGGGUGAUUCGAAGCUAUUUUUAACAAAUGAUAUCUACCAUCUUUUUAUAAGUAUUUAACCACAUGUUAAAGUGACUUAACGAUGAACAUGUAUGAUAUAUCAAAUACUUUAUAAAUAGUUGUUUUGUUGUUAUCUUAUGUAAUUAAAUAUAUUAUAUGAGAAAGUAUAUAUUGUUUAGAUUGAAUUGUUGCUCUAUAGUUUGUGGAAUUUAUAUUUUUCGAUAAUUUUAUAUAGUGGAAGUUUUGUUUAUAUAGGUCGUUGCAUAUUAAGAUGUGAAAUAUUAUUGAAUUAGGUGCUGUUUUUUCUUUUUCUUUUAAUUGAUUUCAUUUAUAGAAGGCAAAUUUUAUUUAAAAGUUAUUUUCAAAAUUUAAGUAUAGUGCAUUUCACUUAAUUUUCAUAUUAAUUAUUAUUAUUAUUAUUAUUUAGUCCUGUAAAAUGCCAAACAUAGGAUAACACUAUUAUAAUCUUAUCUGACAUGCAUCAAACAAAAGACAGUACUAUAUUUAAUGUAGUGAAAUCCAAUAUAAUCUUAAAAACUAAUUCAAUCCAAUCUUGUCUUCCAAACAUAACUUUAGAGUCUACUAAAACAUUAUUAUACUCAUUUACAUGAAUUCAAGGAUAAAAUAAAUAUUUUAUUUUAAAUUUUUCUUUACAGUGUUUAACAGUUAUAAUAGAAAGUUGGUUGGUUGAUAAAAUAAAAAUUUAUGGUGAUUUUAAAAUAUUAUUAAAAACUCGUAGUGACUAGCAGUAUUUUUGAUAUUCUUUUCUUGAGGGAUAAUUUGCCAUAUACUGCACUAUUAUGCAUAAUUUUCGCUCAAAAAGUUUUAAUUUUUUAUAGCAACAACCAAGACUUUCAUCUUAUAUGGAAAGAUAUCACCUAAUUUAUAUCAAAUUGGUUGUUCAUUCUGUUUAGAACUUUCUUUCACAAUAAAAUCCAAUUUAACAAAAUAAAUAAAUAAAAUAAAAACAAGAUUGACUAUAAAAUGAACACGUGUAGCAAUCCUAGCGUUGAAGUUGAUUCUCAUAUCCGAAGGCAAUCCAUACUUUCCCUCGCUCUCAGGAAUCAGAGCAACUUAACCGUAACCGAUUAACCGUUAACGACAACCUUCAAUGGCCAUGUCUCAGAUGGCGUCCACUCUCGCCUCUCCUCUCUCUUUCCUCCUCCUCCGCCAUUCUCUCUCUCCAUAUAUUCCACGUCAGCAUUCUGUCUCCUCUCCUCUCUCAAAACACCAACACUCGCACCAAAUCCUCUGCGCUAAAAAGAGCAGCAGCAGCAACAACAGCAAGCAGCAGAAGCCAAAAG